CCUACGGGUGGCAGCAGUGAGGAAUAUUGGUCAAUGGGCGCGAGCCUGACCCAGCCAAGUCGCGUGAGGGAAGACGGUCCUAUGGAUUGUAAACCUCUUUUGUCGGGGAGCAAAAGACGCCACGCGUGGCGUUCCGUGAGUACCCGAAGAAAAAGCAUCGGCUAACUCCGUGCCAGCAGCCGCGGUAAUACGGAGGAUGCGAGCGUUAUCCGGAUUUAUUGGGUUUAAAGGGUGCGCAGGCGGAAGAUCAAGUCAGCGGUAAAAUUGAGAGGCUCAACCUCUUCGAGCCGUGGAAACUGGUUUUCUUGAGUGAGCGAGAAGUAUGCGGAAUGCGUGGGGGAGCGGUGAAAUGCAUAGAUAUCACGCAGAACUCCGAUUGCGAAGGCAGCAUACCGGCGCUCAACUGACGCUCAUGCACGAAAGUGUGGGUAUCGAACAGGAUUAGAUACCCUUGUAGUC
This 459-nucleotide ribosomal RNA is filed under the name uncultured bacterium. RNAcentral describes it as "partial 16S ribosomal RNA". It matches the Rfam family "Bacterial small subunit ribosomal RNA", at positions 338 to 795 of the family's 1533-position model. The record is from RNAcentral.